Molecule: ribosomal RNA, 375 nt
Filed under: uncultured bacterium
Lineage: Bacteria
Description: bacterial SSU rRNA
Rfam family: Bacterial small subunit ribosomal RNA
Source: RNAcentral
UACAGAGGGUGCGAGCGUUAAUCGGAAUUACUGGGCGUAAAGCGCGCGUAGGCGGCUUUGCAAGUCGGGUGUGAAAUCCCCAGGCUUAACCUGGGAACUGCAUUCGAGACUGCAUUGCUAGAGUAUGGGAGAGGGAAGUGGAAUUUCCGGUGUAGCGGUGAAAUGCGUAGAUAUCGGAAGGAACAUCAGUGGCGAAAGCGACUUCCUGGACCAAUACUGACGCUCAUGUGCGAAAGCGUGGGGAGCAAACAGGAUUAGAUACCCUGGUAGUCCACGCCAUAAACGAUGAGAACUGGAUGUCGGGAGGGUCUGCCUCUCGGUGUCGUAGCUAACGCGUUAAGUUCUCCGCCUGGGGAGUACGGCCGCAAGGUUGAA